GGUCACGAGCGCCAGCGUGAAGCCCCGGCUUGCUGGCCGGCAACCCUCCUUCGCGGGCGGGGUGCUCCGGGUGAGGACCCGGCUCGGCACGUGAUGUGUCGGGCAAGCCGCGUUC
Molecule: non-coding RNA, 115 nt
Filed under: Pseudofrankia asymbiotica
Lineage: Bacteria; Bacillati; Actinomycetota; Actinomycetes; Frankiales; Frankiaceae
Description: Frankia asymbiotica SAM-IV sequence
Rfam family: SAM (S-adenosyl methionine) riboswitch aptamer
About the family: SAM-IV is a mRNA element that regulates gene expression via direct sensing of S-adenosylmethionine (SAM or AdoMet).
Source: Rfam by way of RNAcentral